RNAcentral lists this ribosomal RNA (440 nucleotides) under uncultured bacterium. RNAcentral's name for it is "partial 16S ribosomal RNA". It matches the Rfam family "Bacterial small subunit ribosomal RNA", at positions 338 to 795 of the family's 1533-position model. The record is from RNAcentral.
CCUACGGGGGGCAGCAGUGGGGAAUAUUGCACAAUGGGGGAAACCCUGAUGCAGCGACGCCGCGUGAGUGAAGCAGUAUUUCGGUAUGUUAAGCUCUGUCAGCAGGGAAGAAAAUGACGGUACCUGACCAUGAAGCCCAGGCUAACUACGUGCCAGCAGCCGCGGUAAUACGUAGGGGGCAAGCGUUAUCCGGAUUUACUGGGUGUAAAGGGAGCGUAGACGGCAGGGCAAGUCUGGAGUGAAAGGCGGGGGCUCAACCCCCGGACUGCUCUGGAAACUGCCAGGCUGGAGUGCAGGAGAGGAAAGUGGAAUUCCUAGUGUAGCGGUGAAAUGCGUAGAUAUUAGGAGGAACACCAGUGGCGAAGGCGGCUUACUGGACUGUAACUGACGUUGAGGCUCGAAAGCGUGGGGAGCAAACAGGAUUAGAUACCCCAGUAGUC